Molecule: ribosomal RNA, 449 nt
Filed under: uncultured bacterium
Lineage: Bacteria
Description: bacterial SSU rRNA
Rfam family: Bacterial small subunit ribosomal RNA
Source: RNAcentral
UGGGGAAUAUUGGACAAUGGGCGCAAGCCUGAUCCAGCAAUGCCGCGUGUGUGAAGAAGGCCUUCGGGUUGUAAAGCACUUUUAUCAGGAGCGAAAUACCACGGGUUAAUACCCUAUGGGGCUGACGGUACCUGAGGAAUAAGCACCGGCUAACUUCGUGCCAGCAGCCGCGGUAAUACGAAGGGUGCAAGCGUUAAUCGGAAUUACUGGGCGUAAAGCGUGCGUAGGCGGUUAUUUAAGUCUGUUGUGAAAUCCCCGGGCUCAACCUGGGAAUGGCAAUGGAUACUGGAUAGCUAGAGUGUGAUAGAGGAUGGUGGAAUUCCCGGUGUAGCGGUGAAAUGCGUAGAGAUCGGGAGGAACAUCAGUGGCGAAGGCGGCCAUCUGGAUCAACACUGACGCUGAAGCACGAAAGCGUGGGGAGCAAACAGGAUUAGAUACCCCUGUAGUCC